RNAcentral lists this ribosomal RNA (565 nucleotides) under Streptomyces sp. 424C10. Its description in RNAcentral is "bacterial SSU rRNA". It matches the Rfam family "Bacterial small subunit ribosomal RNA", at positions 93 to 671 of the family's 1533-position model. Lineage: Bacteria; Bacillati; Actinomycetota; Actinomycetes; Kitasatosporales; Streptomycetaceae. The record is from RNAcentral.
UAGUGGCGAACGGGUGAGUAACACGUGGGCAAUCUGCCCUUCACUCUGGGACAAGCCCUGGAAACGGGGUCUAAUACCGGAUAUCACUCCUGCAGGCAUCUGCGGGGGUUGAAAGCUCCGGCGGUGAAGGAUGAGCCCGCGGCCUAUCAGCUUGUUGGUGAGGUAAUGGCUCACCAAGGCGACGACGGGUAGCCGGCCUGAGAGGGCGACCGGCCACACUGGGACUGAGACACGGCCCAGACUCCUACGGGAGGCAGCAGUGGGGAAUAUUGCACAAUGGGCGAAAGCCUGAUGCAGCGACGCCGCGUGAGGGAUGACGGCCUUNGGGUUGUAAACCUCUUUCAGCAGGGAAGAAGCGAAAGUGACGGUACCUGCAGAAGAAGCGCCGGCUAACUACGUGCCAGCAGCCGCGGUAAUACGUAGGGCGCAAGCGUUGUCCGGAAUUAUUGGGCGUAAAGAGCUCGUAGGCGGCUUGUCACGUCGGGGUGUGAAAGCCCGGGGCUUAACCCCGGGUCUGCAUUCGAUACGGGCUAGCUAGAGUGUGGUAGGGGAGAUCGGAAUUCCU